This 497-nucleotide ribosomal RNA is filed under the name uncultured bacterium. Its description in RNAcentral is "partial 16S ribosomal RNA". It matches the Rfam family "Bacterial small subunit ribosomal RNA", at positions 28 to 507 of the family's 1533-position model. The record is from RNAcentral.
GAUGAACGCUGGCGGCGUGCCUAAUACAUGCAAGUCGAGCGAACGGACGAGAAGCUUGCUUUUCUGAUGUUAGCGGCGGACGGGUGAGUAACACGUGGAUAACCUACCUAUAAGACUGGGAUAACUUCGGGAAACCGGAGCUAAUACCGGAUAAUAUUUUGAACCGCAUGGUUCAAAAGUGAAAGACGGUCUUGCUGUCACUUAUAGAUGGAUCCGCGCUGCAUUAGCUAGUUGGUAAGGUAACGGCUUACCAAGGCAACGAUGCAUAGCCGACCUGAGAGGGUGAUCGGCCACACUGGAACUGAGACACGGUCCAGACUCCUACGGGAGGCAGCAGUAGGGAAUCUUCCGCAAUGGGCGAAAGCCUGACGGAGCAACGCCGCGUGAGUGAUGAAGGUCUUCGGACCGUAAAACUCUGUUAUUAGGGAAGAACAUAUGUGUAAGUAACUGUGCACAUCUUGACGGUACCUAAUCAGAAAGCCACGGCUAACUACGUG